This 159-nucleotide RNase P RNA is filed under the name Clostridiales bacterium. Its description in RNAcentral is "partial RNase P RNA component class A". It matches the Rfam family "Bacterial RNase P class A", at positions 1 to 170 of the family's 367-position model. From Rfam's summary of the family: Ribonuclease P (RNase P) is a ubiquitous endoribonuclease, found in archaea, bacteria and eukarya as well as chloroplasts and mitochondria. Lineage: Bacteria; Bacillati; Bacillota; Clostridia; Eubacteriales. The record is from RNAcentral.
UGAGUUAGCUGUACGGUUGCGGGGAAACUUUUAAGUUUCCGUGAGGAAAGUCCGAGCUUCAUAAAGCAGGGUGCCGGAUAACGUCCGGUAGCGGUAACGUUCAGGAAAGUGCAACAGAAAAUAACCGCUCGAAAGAGUAAGGGUGAAAAGGCGAGGUAA